ACUUGAAAAUAAACUUUAUUUAGGCAAAUCUUAAGAAUAUAGGAAAAAAAUCUGCAAUCCAUCAGUCAGAAAUACAGUAAAUGUCAAAUUGCAUUUUAGCAGCAUUAUACUCGCAUCAGAUCUUUAUGUAGUCAUUGGAAGAAUCAAGUUCAUAUAGCAGCUAUGAUUUUCAAUUUUUUAGAAAGUAGCUCUAUCCUAUUUUCAUGAUAGCAGAAAGUAUGCAACUCAUGAUCAGUUUAAAACAUGAACAGAUAGCACAGCUUUUAGGCUGACCUUUUCAGGCUUUAUGUCACAAAACAACUGUCGUAAGAGGAAAUCACCAAGUUACUCAGAAAUUUUUGAGCAGUUCCAGUUUAAUUUUGAUGUUUCAUGCUGAAUGUACUCGAGUUCAGGGUUCUGCAUUGCUGAGAACAUGCAUCCAAACAAGUUUAUUCAAAGCAUUCUUUAAAAUAUAUAUUCUUUGAAUUCAGCUGUCAGAAGUCAAUGGUUUGAAUGACUGAACACUCAAAGGAGAGAGAAAGGCCCAUAGGGCCGGAGUUGAGCUUGACAUAUGAUUUACAAUUAAAAUCGAGUUUGCCUGUAACACUUUCAGUAAAAGCAAAGAGGAAAACAUGGCAGGAAUCUAUGUUUCUAUGAUCAGUGCUCUUUUUGUAAGGAUGUGAGAGUGGGGAAAUUGAAUCUUCCUAGGGUGCUUCUUCCUGACUAAUUCUUAUGCCUAUGUUUCUCUUAACUCCAUCUUCACCCUCCACCUGCCACCAACUCUUAAAGGCCUUGUCUGCUUUGUGGCCUUCCACGCGAAGACAAAUAGCCUAUUCAGGGAAAAGUAUCUAUGCAAACCCACCUUGCAAUUAAUAACAUUUUUUAAAGGAUUUGUUAAUAGUACAAUAAAGAAAAAGGCAGAAAAAUGUGAAUUAUGUGCAAGUCAUGCAGAGCCCAUAGGCAUUUUGAAGUGGGAAAGGCGGGAGAUAACCCACUACUAGAGACAUUGUAAAAGAUGGAUGUCCCAGAUGGAGUCAUGGUGAUUCCCAGCAAAUGCCUUUGCAGAAUACCAGUGUCCAAGGGAGACUCUCCACCUGCAUAAAGUCCUGCGGGAAGCCUUGUUUUGUUGAUUGUUAUGUUCUUCUCUUCUGAUUAGCCCUUUUUUUGCCUAACGCUGUCCUCAACUUCCUUACUUGUUUGUUGAGGAAUCUCUACCUCCCCUGCACCUAGGUGUCUAGUUUCCCUGCACGUAUUGAGGCUUCUGGAAGGAAGAUUAAAGAGUUCCUUGAUCACUUCCCACCUGAGAGAAAAAGUAGCCCAAAGCUACUUCACAGUCACCAUCACCAUCUUCUUAUCAUUCUGAGCCAGCUCUGGCUACAGUAGGUUUUCUUCAUAUGCUCCAUACGACAUGGAGGCAAAAAGCUCAGUGCAACC
This is a long non-coding RNA of Strigops habroptila (Kakapo), 1413 nucleotides long. NCBI's taxonomy places the organism in Eukaryota, Metazoa, Chordata, Aves, Psittaciformes, Psittacidae. The record is from Ensembl.